Molecule: small RNA, 158 nt
Filed under: Chelonoidis abingdonii (Abingdon island giant tortoise)
Lineage: Eukaryota; Metazoa; Chordata; Testudines; Testudinidae
Description: TUC338 (ENSCABG00000003605.1)
Source: RNAcentral
UUGCCAGCCCUGGAGCCGGAGUCCUCUCUCUAUUAACAGAGCAGGUACAACACAGGCAGGGAAGGUGUAAGCUCUCUUCCUAGUGUGCCCCAGUCUUGCUCUGCAGGUACCUGUUCCAACAAAGACAGCUCAUUCUAUUCACUCAAUUGUUGUCUUAU